GUGGUUGACUACCUCACCAACUGGAUCGCCGGCACACCCCCUCCUUCCCUGGCCACUCUUUCGGUCUACGGCACCGAGCCGUUGAAUCUUAUUGGCAACGAUCGGCAGGAGGGAUUCUUUGUCGAGAGCAAGUUCGAGAACAGCUAUGGCUCGCGCGUGGAUCGAAAGGCCGGCACCGGGCACCGGUUCUAUCAAAACGGUUAGUCCACGUUCGAAAAGCAAGAACUUGGGUUGAGUCCGUCCCGGCAGCCCAUCGCGGCCCAGGAAAAACCGAGUCUCUUAGGAUUUCCAAACCCUAAGGUUACGAAUGGGUUCUUCACUUUGUAAAAGAGCAAGAAGUCGGCGACAAAACCGUCGGCUGCCGUGAGAUCGUGGGUGGGGGCGAAAGAGCAGACUUUACUUUAACGACGGUCGGCGAAAGAGGGUGGACGAUGGACGAACAUGAGAUCUGUUCUUCGGCUUCGAGAGACGAGUUCUAUGAAGAUCUUGCAUCAGGCCAUCUCCGACGGCACCACCAUCAAAACAGUUGAGUCCACCUUAUAAACCACCAUCAAAACAAAUGUCAAAUAAGCCGGAAGAACACAUCUCAUAUUCGUACAUCGUCCACCCGGAGUUCUUCUGCCGGUAGUCGUUGAAGGAAAGGCUGCUCUUUCACCUCGCCACCAUCUCGCGCCUGUCGACGGUUUUGUUGACUAGUUCUUGCUUUUUGUCCAGAGUCUAAGAACCGAUGUCGAUCCACGCGCGAGCCGUCCGUAAAUAAGUAUCGCUCAGCGUGGACAGUGAAGGGUGUGCCCCUGUAGCCUCUCGGAACAAGGUCGACGGGCUCCAUGGACGACGGUUGUUUCUUGAAGAGGAGAAGAGAGGAAAUGAACGAGGAAGAGGAGAAGGGAGCAGAGAGGCGAGGGGCGAGAAGACAAAGUGCCUUCAUCUUCUUUGAAUCCCAUCGCCCCGUUCGGUCUUACUCGACUCGGAAACAAAGGUUCGAGGAUCUUGAAGAUGGAGGUAUCUGCGCUGGUGUUGUGGCUUUUGAGGGUGGGAGCUGAUGAAAGGUACAAGAUUUGGUGUUGUAUUGGCAAUCCGUUGGCAUUGCAUUAUGCUUCCGAGGCCAAGUGCUUCACAGUGCCAUCUUCAGCAGAGGGCUGGAGCUGAUGGAACCAAUAAUAGGUCCCUGUAUGUCAUCAAGGUCGGACCUUUCCACAAUGCCAAGUGAUUUCUUUUCGAUUCUUACCACACCAUCGCUUUGGUAAGUCGAGUUUACUAAGAGUUUAGUUUAAUGAGACAGUUAGUUAAAUAAUGUCUAAAUGAUUCUACUAUAGUUGAUCUAUCAGUUAGUUAAUGACACAGUUAAUUAGUCGAGAUAAAUGGUACUAAAAAUUGUUCAAUAAUGUUAAUUUCAGUUUUGAAAAUCCUAAUGGUUCUAAACGAUCAAAUAUGAGUCACAAAUUUGUUUAUCAAAGAGAUUCUUCAAAGUAGCAGUCUGGAUUGAUGCAGAAUGAUAUUUGAGAAAGUUUCUUUGACAUCCAUGCAACUUCUUAUUAAUGUUCUUCGUUGGGACUCUCACUACCAACCACAAUGAAUCAUACUUAUGUAGAUGUUUCUCUAAAAUAAAGAUCCGGAAGUACACUGUCAAGCUUGGGUAGCUUCUUAGCAUAUACUUCAAGAUUGAGUAGCAAUAUUAUCAGACAAAUAGGAUAGAUGGAUCACAGCAACACUCAUCAAUAUGAAAAGAGGCAAAAUCAUCACAAAAAUCAUAGUAAGUGAACUCCAUUUCUCAAAAGACACAAAUGCAACCAAUUUAUUUUGCGAUCUCAUUUUUUAUGCAGAUUUACUGAUUAAACUUAUUUUCUUUCAAUUUAAUUUGCCCUUUUUGAGAACCUAUUCUGCAAAAAGAUUAUCCUUUGCAAGACCUUUUGGCAUAUUUUCCCGCUCUUGAUUUUAUUUCUUGAGAGAAAUGAAUUUUUCCUCCCAAGCUAAGAAUUUGGUUUUCUGCAGUCGAUAAUCUGGAGAUAUUACAUCUUUUUUAAUUGCAUUCGUUUGCAGAGAACAUAGUGCUGCAACACCCAUAUAGCCGAAUACUUUCAAGCAGACAGCUAGAGUGGCCCUAUGUGCAUCUUCACUGUAGUGCCAGAUUUAUUUUGCUGGAGCAUUGUUAGGAACUAGCUUAUUAAGUAAAUGUUUUUAUUUCUUUAGAUUAUUAGUUAUCGAAUUCAUCAUGGCAAUCAGAGUUCUGCAUUCACUAUCUCCCUCACCCCACAACAUGGAACUUGUGGUUCGUUUUAACAUUUCAUUCAGUGAUGUACUUCCAUGUGAUGACAUGAAUUUAUGCAUCUUCUUUCAGGUUGAGAGAUCAUUUGACUUAUCCAGGGUUCGUAAAUGUUUUUUUUUCUUGACUUGAUUAAAAACAUGUAUGUUUAUUCUGUGGGUUAUGGAUGUAUUUUACAGAUUUUCUGGUGAACUAUACCUAAAAUUUGUAUGUGUCUUUGAGAUGUCACUUAUAUGAAUUCAUGCCUUCUUGUUAAUUAUUGAGGAUCAAAAUUUUCAA
Long non-coding RNA from Musa acuminata AAA Group (dessert banana), 2542 nucleotides. RefSeq lists it as uncharacterized. The record is from RefSeq and is a predicted model, not a curated record. The transcript has 2 exons. Lineage: Eukaryota; Viridiplantae; Streptophyta; Magnoliopsida; Zingiberales; Musaceae.